GUUUGGGACGAGGAGAAUCUGUGUUCGAUCCACAGUAAUCCGAAGAUAAUAGGUACUCUAUAUACCUUAUUAGGGAUUAAUUAAAUAUAAAUAGUAUUUAUAUUAAAAAAAAAAGAAACUAAAAAUUUCUAUUAUAUAUAAUUUAUACUUAUAUAGAAUUAUAACCAAAAUUUAUUUUUUUAUAUAAGUAUAAAAAGAAACUAUUGUGGAGUCUAAGCUAUAUAUUAAAGAGAUUUAUUAAUUAUCAUAGAUUAAAAUUAAAUUAGUUAAACAACUAAUAAAAUUUUGAAAGUAAAACGUAUUUUAAUACUUUACUAUAAAUCUAAUAAAAAUAUUUUAACUCUAGGAAAAAUUCAAUUUCAAUAAACUAGGUGAAUUGAAAUAUCUUAGUAACCUAAGGAAAAGAAAUCAAAAGAGAUUCUAAAAUUAGCGUGAGUGAAAUUAGAGAAGUCUUAAAUUAAAAUGGAAAAAAAUCUGUUUGAACAAAUGGGGAACCUUCCUCAAAGACUAAAUAUAAUAUAUAAGCAAUAGCGUAUAUGUACCGUGAGGGAAAGAAAUAUGAAACAGUAGUUUUAUAAGCAGUUUUAAUCACAUUUGUGUGUUCAAAACGUACCUUUUGCAUAAUGGGUCACCAAGUUAACAUUAGAUACAAGCAUUAAGCGUAGUUAAACCGGACGUUAAAAUAACGAUAAGAGUAUCUAAAGUUAGACCCGAAGCCUGGUGAUUAUACUAUAGUCAGGAUUAUAAAAGUCCGAACGGUUUAUUGUAGCAAAAAUAUCCGAAGAACUAUGGUAGGUGUAGUGAAAGACAACACUGACCAGGAUAGCUGGUUUUCUGCGAAACCUAUAACAGUAGGCAAUUCAAGAUAAUAUCUUAGCAGGUACAGAACUUAAUCUCAGACAAUAGAUGAUAAUAAUCAAAUAUUGUAUAUAUUGGGGGAUCGUGAAGAUUUUACCAGUGAGUAUGCAGACUCGGAAUGGCAAAGAUAAAACUUGAAUGAUCAGACAUAGAAUGAUAAGGUUGUAUGUCAAAAGGGAAACAGCCCAGAACAAGAGUUAAGGUUCCUAAAUUAUUAGUUAAGUGAAAUGAAGAAUGUAUUUAUUAAAGUCGACAAGAAGAUAGGCUUAGAAGCAGCCAUAAUUUUAUGACCUCGUAACAGAGCACUUGUUAAGUUAUAAACAGCGUCAAUAAUUUAACGGAUCUAAACAAUAUACCGAAACCUUGUCCAUGAUAUAUUAUAAAAAUUUUUUAUAAUAAAAUGGGGUAGCAGAACAUUGAAUAAAUUUACUACUUUUAUUUUUCAAAUAAAAUUAACAUUAUUUAAUUCAAGUGAGAAUGGUGACAUGAGUAACGAAAAGAAAUAAUUUAAUAUUUCCGCCUAAAGCUUAUGGCUAGCGUUAAGUACGGCCUCUAAACUAAAGUAAUGCUAAAGAUUUUUAGUGAUGAGAAAAUCUAAAAGACAUUUGACCGCAUUGUAUGUGAACAAUGUGCUGGAAAAUUAACUUUAACCUAUUAAGUCAUAGUUAUCUUCAAAGAUAACAUAGAUUAAACCGUACCUAGAUACUGACACAAGUAAGCGAGUAGAGAAUACGAAGGCGUUUGAGCUAACAAUCAUAAAGGAACUCGGCAAAUUGACUACCGUAACUUCGGGAUAAGGAGAGCUCAUAUUUCUUGGUUAAUACCAAGUGAAAUAGAAGAGGCAUAGAAUAGUGCUGUACGACUGUUUAAUUAAAACACAGCACUUUGCAUAAGAUUCAAAAAAAUCUAAGUAUAAAGUGUGAGAUCUGCCCGGUGCCGGCUGGUUAAUAGAGAUACUUGAAUGAACUAACAUUUGACAUCGACAGAACCCCCGGUUAAAGGCGGCCUUAACGUGAGGGUCCUAAGGUAGCGAAAUGCCUUGGCCGUUAAAUGCGGUCUUGCAUGAAUGGUGUAACGAUACAGCAGCUGUCUCUAUGAUUGACUCAGUGAAAUUGGAAUAGCUGUGCAGAUACAGUUUACCUCUAGAUAGACGAGAAGACCCUAUGCAGCUUUACUGUCACUAAUAAUAGACUAUGAUUACCCUUAUAUCAGUAUAGAAGGUGUCUAGAUAGAUAGAAAAAUGAGAAAUCUUCAGUAGGUUUUCAUAUGAAAGAAACUGUGGAUUUAAAUGUUAAAUUUAGCGAUACCAUCUAGUUUCUACCGAAAGGUGACCUUGAUUAGGAAUUAUUACUAGGAGACAGUUUAUGUGGGGCACAGACCCUGUAAAAAGUAAACAGGUGUGUCUAAUUAAUUUAGAAUUUUGUUUGUAAUUUUAAAUAGCAUUUUAAGUGCUAUUUUUUAUCUUUAUACUUAUUUAUAUCUACAUAUGUAUAUAAUUUUGCUUUGUUUAAUAUACGAGAGUAUAUUUUACAACAAGUAGAUUUUACAAAGCAACUAUAAUAUAGAAGUACAUACUUUUAUAUUAUUUAUAACAAUAAGACAUAAGUUAUUAUUGGGUCGACCUAUUUGUGUAUAGAUUUAUUUCUAUAUAUAGAUAGGAAGAUUAUUAUGUACGUAGUAUAUAUAUAUAAUAAAAUUUUUUAGGUAGGAUUUUCACUAGUUAGAAGUUAGUGGUAAUUGAAAAAAUUAUGUAGCCAAGCUACUAAUUAUUUUCUAGCUAUUAAAUUAUAUUUAAUAGUAAUGUAUAAUACCGAAAAAGCUCAACGGCUGAAUUCUGCCUUACUGUUUGAUUAUCUACAAAUCUUACAGUUGCGUAAGCAGGGCAUAGGAUCACAAGAUACAAAAAGGAAAGAUCUUGGAUU
RNAcentral lists this ribosomal RNA (2780 nucleotides) under Triticum urartu. RNAcentral describes it as "bacterial LSU rRNA". The stretch from base 183 to 2046 matches the Rfam family "Bacterial large subunit ribosomal RNA". Lineage: Eukaryota; Viridiplantae; Streptophyta; Magnoliopsida; Poales; Poaceae. The record is from RNAcentral.